UGGUAUUGGCCUUAGAAGCGGCGAGUGAAGCGGCAAAAGCUCAAAUUUGAAAUCUGGCACUUUCAGUGUCCGAGUUGUAAUUUGAAGAAGGUAUCUUUGGGUCUGGCUCUUGUCUAUGUUUCUUGGAACAGAACGUCACAGAGGGUGAGAAUCCCGUGCGAUGAGAUGUCCCAGACCUAUGUAAAGUUCCUUCGAAGAGUCGAGUUGUUUGGGAAUGCAGCUCUAAGUGGGUGGUAAAUUCCAUCUAAAGCUAAAUAUUGGCGAGAGACCGAUAGCGAACAAGUACAGUGAUGGAAAGAUGAAAAGAACUUUGAAAAGAGAGUGAAAAAGUACGUGAAAUUGUUGAAAGGGAAGGGCUUGAGAUCAGACUUGGUAUUUUGUAUGUUACUCUCUCGGGGGUGGCCUCUACAGUUUACCGGGCCAGCAUCAGUUUGAGCGGUAGGAUAAGUGCAAAGAAAUGUGGCACUGCUUCGGUAGUGUGUUAUAGUCUUUGUCGAUACUGCCAGCUUAGACUGAGGACUGCGGCUUCGGCCUAGGAUGUUGGCAUAAUGAUCUUAAGUCGCCCGUCUUGAAACCCGGGACAUCA
Molecule: ribosomal RNA, 586 nt
Filed under: Lodderomyces parapsilosis
Lineage: Eukaryota; Fungi; Ascomycota; Pichiomycetes; Serinales; Debaryomycetaceae
Description: eukaryotic LSU rRNA
Rfam family: Eukaryotic large subunit ribosomal RNA
Source: RNAcentral